RNAcentral lists this unclassified non-coding RNA (338 nucleotides) under Melaleuca pulchella. Lineage: Eukaryota; Viridiplantae; Streptophyta; Magnoliopsida; Myrtales; Myrtaceae. The record is from RNAcentral.
CAUUUUACUGAUUUUUCUUUUUCUUUUUAAUCCUCACGGAUUAUUUUGGGCCAGGGUGUUGGCGUCGAAACGAGCUUUCCGAAAAGUACUCACGGGGCCCGCGAGUCCAUCGGGAUCGAAAGUUAGGCAGCCGAACGUAGAGACGCGCGAAUUAUGUUUAUCAAGCAAUUUCGAAUAUUUUGUGUUUCGUCGUAUGUAAAUAGUAUUCAGUUAAUUGAGUCGGGCUCGGGAAAUUACGUCAAUUGAGUCGUUUAAAAGCCGGAAGUUGAACACUCUAGACUUGCUCUCGAGAAGAGAAAUCGAGUCGGUUCAAGUAAAUUUGGAAUGCAUCACAUGAC